This 1159-nucleotide long non-coding RNA is filed under the name Anthonomus grandis grandis. Its description in RNAcentral is "uncharacterized LOC126740072". The record is from RNAcentral. Lineage: Eukaryota; Metazoa; Arthropoda; Insecta; Coleoptera; Curculionidae.
AGGCGGCAAACCUCUUGAAUACUAACCGUUAAUUCUAUUGUUUUUCUUUUACGUUGUAGGCAAUGGUCAGAAAAUAAGUGUGAAAUUCCAGAAAAGACCCUUUGACAAUUCCAGCAUAUCGUGUACGCACUCAUGGAAGACGGCAAGAUAGAAAGUGGCGUGCAUAGGGCUGGUAGAUGAGAUUUUAACUCUCUUCCUGAAUAAGGAGGCAGCAAUGGCGAAGGGGAUCCAUGCAAGGAGGACCCAUGUAUUUAUAUUGGACUACUACUAUUUUACACCGCAAUUUAAAAUAGCAUCUUAGUCAUCAACAAAAAGGAGACUUUCCCAGUGCUUUACCACCCUUGGAUGGCUAUCAGUAGGAAUUCAAAAGAGCAACGGCCUCAAAUUACUACCCUGUGGCACAGCAAAAACUGCAGAAAAACCCUCAGACCUUGAUUUUGCAACUUAAAAACUUAAAAACUUAAAAACCUGUUGUAGUGAGGUCAGGUACUUUACGUGAAAAUCGAGUAGAAAAUAGCCCACUAAGGUCAAAGCAAGAAUGGAAAACUGAAAAAAAGGCUUCUGUCAUAAGUCUGCAUGUCAAGAUGUUGUAGUUGUUCAAUGGAAGGAACAAAGUUGUAGCACCUGCUUCAAAUUUUGACGUAUCUGCAAACACAACAGCUCCACGUUACUGCAGAGAAACUAAAUCUAAGGUAAAUGUUCCACAGCCUGGCAUAAUAUAUAAUUAUAAUAGAGGGAUGGGUGGGGUAGAUAAAUUAGACAACAUGGAUGCCAACUAUAGGGCCCGAAUAAGACAAAGAAAAUGGUGGUGGCCAAUUUUAUUUUUCGAAGAAACAUAGCCCUAGCUUGCGGCAUUCAUAUGGAGUAAAGUCUGUAAAAGGGAAACUAAGACCAACCUUACCGCUGGAUGUUAGGCUUGAUAAUAUCAAUCAUUUGGUGGAAUAUUCUGAGACUGAUAGAAAAUGUGCAUUUUGCAAAAAAAGGCAAAUUUUGUUUGCAUAAAAUGUAAUGACUUCAAGGCUUAUCACACUAAAUAGGCAUAUCAAAGAAUACAUUUUUUGUUGAUUAUCAGAAUUUUUAUUUUGUUAUUUUUAGCACAAUGUCCCUCAUAAGGGACUGUUCUUUUUUUCAAAUGAAUACAUUUCUUGUUUUUUUUCCA